UAAGGAAUCUUCCACAAUGGGCGAAAGCCUGAUGGAGCAACGCCGCGUGCAGGAUGAAGGCCUUCGGGUCGUAAACUGCUUUUAUGUGCGAUGAAUUUGACAGUAACACAUGAAUAAGGAUCGGCUAACUACGUGCCAGCAGCCGCGGUCAUACGUAGGAUCCGAGCGUUAUCCGGAGUGACUGGGCGUAAAGAGUUGCGUAGGUGGUAAUUUAAGCGAGUAAUGAAAUCGUGUGGCUCAACCAUACUGCUAUUAUUUGAACUGAAUUACUUGAGAGCGAGAGAGGUAAAUGGAAUUCCCAGUGUAGGAGUGAAAUCCGCAGAUAUUGGGAGGAACACCAAUGGCGUAGGCAGUUUACUGGCUCGUUUCUGACACUGAGGCACGAAAGCGUGGGGAGCGAACCGGAUUAGAUACCCCGGUAGUCC
Molecule: ribosomal RNA, 425 nt
Filed under: uncultured bacterium
Lineage: Bacteria
Description: bacterial SSU rRNA
Rfam family: Bacterial small subunit ribosomal RNA
Source: RNAcentral